Molecule: ribosomal RNA, 583 nt
Filed under: uncultured bacterium
Lineage: Bacteria
Description: bacterial SSU rRNA
Rfam family: Bacterial small subunit ribosomal RNA
Source: RNAcentral
CCUACGGGAGGCAGCAGUCUAGAGGCUUCGGCAAUGGACGAAAGUCUGACCGAGCGACGCCGCGUGCGGGAUGAAGGCCGUGAGGUUGUAAACCGCUGUCAGCAGGGAAGAAUGCCCGGAUGGUGAAUUCGGGAGUGACGGUACCUGCAGAGGAAGCCCCGGCUAACUCCGUGCCAGCAGCCGCGGUAAUACGGAGGGGGCAAACGUUGUUCGGAAUUACUGGGCGUAAAGGGUGCGUAGGCGGUUCGGUAAGUCUAGCGUGAAAUCUCGUCGCUUAACGACGAAACUGCGCUGGAUACUGCUGAGCUCGAGGGUGGGAGAGGCUAGUGGAAUUCCUGGUGUAGCGGUGGAAUGCGUAGAUAUCAGGAAGAACACUCGUGGCGAAGGCGGCUAGCUGGCCCAUUCCUGACGCUGAGGCACGAAAGCCAGGGGAGCGAACGGGAUUAGAUACCCCGGUAGUCCUGGCCGUAAACGGUGAACACUAGGUGUCGGGGGUAUCGACCCCCUCGGUGCCGGAGCUAACGCGUUAAGUGUUCCGCCUGGGGAGUACGACCGCAAGGUUGAAACUCAAAGGAAUUGACGG